UGGAACUAUCCAGCAUGUAACGUGGACUGGAAUUCUGUUGGCUGGAAGCCACUCUGUACCUCCUUUAAACACAGCACAAGAGUCAGUGUGGAUGCAAACAAGAGAGGCAAUCUGUACCUCAGGUUGGAAAACACCCCAAACAGCUCUCAGCACACUCCAAACUACUCCCCUGUCUCUUAUCAUUCUUUUCUUAAACCAAGAAUUUGCUGUUUGGAGGAGAAAGGAGAGGCUACUGUGAUUACUGAGGCAGGUUUGUUUUGGCUGCUAGCCAAGCUCUCAGUUUCUGGAAUUGUCAGAUUUUUUACAGCUCCUUCUGUCCCUGAGAAGGUGUUACAGCAAUGCUCUAUCAGGUCAUACCACUUCCUAACUGAGGAGCUCUGGGCCACCCCAUCAGGGGGGAGGGUCCCAUGGUGGUUGUCUUCAAUGCCUUCAGUUUCUGAGAAGGUUUUUGAGUUUUCUCUGGGGUAAUUUGCAAAUUAAGGUUUUCCAAAUGGGAGAUUAUUUCUUGUUCAGUAUCCCCCACUACUUCUAUUUUGCCUCCUCCCACAGGAAAACCAUUAAUAUAUUGAUAAACAGCCACGUUGUCAGGUUUGGGUUUCUGGACUGGCCAUAUAGGAGAGUUGAAAGGAAGAUGUUUUAUUGUUUUUGUUGAAUUAUUGUUUCUUGGUUUUGCAAAUCCUGUAUAACAGGUUUGAUCUCUUCUUUGGCACCAGAGAGAAGAGGGCAUCGUUUUACAUUUACAGGUGAUGGCACAGGUGAUUUAUAGCCAGUAAUGAAUUUUAUUUCAAGCAUAAUUUGCAAGCAGGCAGCUUUGUCAAAGUUUUCUAUGAGUUUUUCGGGGGUACUAAUUAAAUCUACAGGGUCUCCCCUUUCCAAGGGGUUGAGCUGCCCUGCCCUAUAAGCUGCACUCUGAGUUAGGGACCAUGAGUUGUGUUUGUCUCCCAUUGUUAAGAAAACCCCAUGUCCCCAGUACCCCUAGUUACUUGUUCUGAUAAUUCAGUAGCAGCAUACAGGAUUUCUUUAGUGGUUACUUGUGGGUCAAAAUCCUCAUCAUUGAUGUAACUGAAUUCUGGUUUAAUUACGGGUUUCAAGCUAGGCCAGCAAUGUUCCCCACAAUUUCUCAUCAGAGUUAGUUCUUUUUGAGGAUUUGAGUAAUUUCCUUCUCCUCUGUUUCUAUUGGUGAGUUAGUGUGUUUUAAUGUUUGGGGAUGUUCUAGUCUUAGAGAGGCUCUUAAAAAAUUAUUUUCAUCCCUUAAAACAUGAUUCUUACUCCUUUCUUAAUCUAUUUUUUUUUGUAAUAUUUCCACUAGAUUUUGUAAGGAGUCAAUAGCAGUUUGUUCCUUGUUAGUUUUUUUAGGUGUUUGUUUUUUUGUUUAAGGAGGGUUUCUACAGCAGCAGUGAGACAGGCCCCUAAAACUGAGCAAUGGAUGGUUUUAUUCCUGCCCAAUUUCAGUUUUGUAUUAUGUUGUAAAGAGUUUAGUCCAUAAAUCACGUUUUCUAAAUUGAACCAGUUGUUGUAUGUCCAUUCUUCCCCCCCUUUAGAUGGUUUGGAAUUGUAUUUAGCUAGCAAAGCAUAAAAUGCAGCUUUAUCUUCUGUACUAUGAUUUUCAGUCAUUUUAUAAGUUAGAGAAGUAGGACUACUAUAGGAAAACUAGUAACUUAAAUCACACGCACGGCCUUAACUAUCCUGGAGAAAAAGAAAAGAAGCAGAAAUUACACACACAUACAAGUUAUGCAGGAAGCACACUUUCCUGAAGCAAAGUCAAUACAAAACAUAUAAAAACAGGAAAAACUUGCACCACUUAAACCCUCACCCUGAGUGGAAUAGUUAGUGCAGCACCCUUCCUGACUUCAAGGAAGGCUCAGAGACAAUACAAACACAGCUAAAUGCUCACGCUGAGUCGAAUAGCCUGCACAGCACCCUUCCUAACUUCACGGAAGGCCAAAAUCUGCAGAGCAGAGGCACAUGAGGAACUUCCGUGUCCGUGUGCAGCUGGAGUGCACCUGCAUGAAGGAGCAGCAGGCUGAGAACAUGCUGUGCUGCCUGCACCAUCCUGAGGAGAGGCUGAGGAAAAACACUACAUUGAUUCAUCCAUCAGCAACACUGAGAGAACCGCCAGCAGGG
Long non-coding RNA from Catharus ustulatus (Swainson's thrush), 2124 nucleotides. The record is from Ensembl. NCBI's taxonomy places the organism in Eukaryota, Metazoa, Chordata, Aves, Passeriformes, Turdidae.